UGAAUGACAGUAGUGGAAUAAAGGAAGCGAAACCCACUCUGUGGCUCAACAGUGUUCUUACAAGGGAACAAGACGUUUCAAGUGGCUGCGGAGACGAGAGCAAGGAAGAGAGCAUGGCAGCAAAGAUUCCAAUCACAGGUUUGAAUAUUGGCAGCGGUACAUUCAGGACAAAGACAACUAACAAAAUCGCUUCGGAAGCUAGUUUUUCAUCUAGUGAAGGAAGUCGUUUGUCAAGCCAAAAGAAUGCAAUGGUGUCAAGAUU
This is a long non-coding RNA of Diceros bicornis minor, 262 nucleotides long. RefSeq lists it as uncharacterized. Lineage: Eukaryota; Metazoa; Chordata; Mammalia; Perissodactyla; Rhinocerotidae. The transcript is spliced from 4 exons. The record is from RefSeq and is a predicted model, not a curated record.